Molecule: ribosomal RNA, 667 nt
Filed under: uncultured Bacteroidales bacterium
Lineage: Bacteria; Pseudomonadati; Bacteroidota; Bacteroidia; Bacteroidales
Description: bacterial SSU rRNA
Rfam family: Bacterial small subunit ribosomal RNA
Source: RNAcentral
AGCAUGAACUUAGCUUGCUAAGGCCGAUGGCGACCGGCGCACGGGUGAGUAACGCGUAUCCAACCUGCCUUACACUCUUGGACAGCCUUCUGAAAGGGAGAUUAAUACAAGAUGUUAUCAUGAGUAAGCAUUUUCGCAUGAUUAAAGGUUUACCGGUGUAAGAUGGGGAUGCGUUCCAUUAGAUAGUAGGCGGGGUAACGGCCCACCUAGUCUUCGAUGGAUAGGGGUUCUGAGAGGAAGGUCCCCCACAUUGGAACUGAGACACGGUCCAAACUCCUACGGGAGGCAGCAGUGAGGAAUAUUGGUCAAUGGACGAGAGUCUGAACCAGCCAAGUAGCGUGAAGGAUGAAGGUUCUAUGGAUUGUAAACUUCUUUUAUACGGGAAUAAACGGAUCCACGUGUGGAUUUUUGCAUGUACCGUAUGAAUAAGGAUCGGCUAACUCCGUGCCAGCAGCCGCGGUAAUACGGAGGAUCCGAGCGUUAUCCGGAUUUAUUGGGUUUAAAGGGAGCGUAGAUGGGUUGUUAAGUCAGUUGUGAAAGUUUGCGGCUCAACCGUAAAAUUGCAAUUGAUACUGGCAGUCUUGAGUACAGUUGAGGUAGGCGGAAUUCGUGGUGUAGCGGUGAAAUGCUUAGAUAUCACGAAGAACUCCGAUUGCGAAGGCAGCUU